This 343-nucleotide unclassified non-coding RNA is filed under the name soil metagenome. RNAcentral describes it as "partial contains 5.8S ribosomal RNA, internal transcribed spacer 2, and large subunit ribosomal RNA". The stretch from base 1 to 120 matches the Rfam family "5.8S ribosomal RNA", at positions 35 to 154 of the family's 154-position model. The record is from RNAcentral.
GAUGAAGAACGCAGCGAAAUGCGAUACGUAAUGUGAAUUGCAGAAUUCAGUGAAUCAUCGAGUCUUUGAACGCACAUUGCGCCCCCUGGUAUUCCGGGGGGCAUGCCUGUUCGAGCGUCAUUAAAUAACCCUCAAGCAUAGCUUGGUGUUGGGCUUUUUUACGUCCUUGACUGGGAUGGGCCUAAAAAUUAGUGGCGAUGGCUUUUUUACUUUCAAGCGUAGUAAAUCUCGUCUUGCUAAAGAGGAAAAAGAUUUUUUUUCUGCCAAAAAUUUUAACAUUUAAAGUUGACCUCGGAUCAGGUAGGAUUACCCGCUGAACUUAAGCAUAUCAAUAAGCGGAGGA